Non-coding RNA from Ciona intestinalis (vase tunicate), 731 nucleotides. Lineage: Eukaryota; Metazoa; Chordata; Ascidiacea; Phlebobranchia; Cionidae. The record is from RefSeq and is a predicted model, not a curated record.
GCAAAAUUCGCGAAGCUUUGGCUGCGCAGACGAAUCGCGUGAAGCUGAAUUCCGACAUCUUAUGGAUAGAAAGAAUAGAAUUGGUUAAAAAGACUGCAUGUAUGCUGACCUCGUAAAUGAAACAAACUUCCGAAGUUCGCUGGACAUAGGGGAAUUGUCGGCAAAGGAAAAAGGGCAUGGACAAAAGUGACAAACAAUAGUUACUGUGGAUUGUAACUUUAUACGCGACGAUAUUUUCUCGUCCCAUUUGGUGGUAAAUAAAGAGCAUUCAAAGAAUUAUAAUACCGCAUUCGCACAACCCCGGUAGACUGUUGUUAAUUGUUUAAACACGAUCCGGAGAUUUGGAUAUUAUGUGUCGAAGGUGUCCCAUAUUCCCCCGCGGUACUUAAUAUUUCUUUACCCGCUGGCCGCUCGCCAAUGAUGAUGACAGAAUCUUGAAUACCGUAUCCUCUGGCUUAGACGCCAAUGCGUGUUUUAUGUCUUUAUUCACGUAUUUUGGGCUUUAAAACAUCACCAAAGUAUUCAAAGCUACUGCACAAGUAAAUUUGAAAAACAUUAAUAUAAGAUUUCUAUUUAACACCAUAUAUUUCAAUUAGCUCCAUAGAUAUCUUUUAAGUUUAGUUCAAUUAUUUAUUUUGUUACCUGACCGCUUGUUUGCUUCCUUUUCCUUCUAGAUAUAACGUACACGAACAUUACUUACGAUUAGUUCGCGCGACUUUCAAAAGGAUGUU